GAUGAAGAACGCAGCGAAAUGCGAUACGUAAUGUGAAUUGCAAAUUCAGUGAAUCAUCGAGUCUUUGAACGCACAUUGCGCCCCCUGGUGUUCCGGGGGGCAUGCCUGUCCGAGCGUCAUUGCUGCCCUCAAGCACGGCUUGUGUGUUGGGCCCCGUCCUCCGAUCCCGGGGGACGGGCCCGAAAGGCAGCGGCGGCACCGCGUCCGGUCCUCGAGCGUAUGGGGCUUUGUCACCCGCUCUGUAGGCCCGGCCGGCGCUUGCCGAUCAACCCAAAUUUUUUAUCCAGGUUGACCUCGGAUCAGGUAGGGAUACCCGCUGAACUUAAGCAUAUCAAUAAGCGGAGGA
RNAcentral lists this unclassified non-coding RNA (346 nucleotides) under soil metagenome. RNAcentral's name for it is "partial contains 5.8S ribosomal RNA, internal transcribed spacer 2, and large subunit ribosomal RNA". The stretch from base 1 to 119 matches the Rfam family "5.8S ribosomal RNA", at positions 35 to 154 of the family's 154-position model. The record is from RNAcentral.